Molecule: transfer RNA, 72 nt
Rfam family: tRNA
About the family: Transfer RNA (tRNA) molecules are approximately 80 nucleotides in length. Their secondary structure includes four short double-helical elements and three loops (D, anti-codon, and T loops).
Source: Rfam
GCUCUUAUAGUGUAGUGGUCAUCACUUUGGACUUUGAAUCCAACAACCCUGGUUCAAAUCCAGGUAGGAGCU